Molecule: long non-coding RNA, 612 nt
Filed under: Aquilegia coerulea
Lineage: Eukaryota; Viridiplantae; Streptophyta; Magnoliopsida; Ranunculales; Ranunculaceae
Description: long non-coding RNA (ACOE_LNC001422)
Source: RNAcentral
UAGGCUUUGGCUUGCUGUGAGGAGGAGGUGUAGGCUUUGGCUUGCUUUGAGGAGGAGGUGUAGGUUUUGGUUUGCUGUGAGGAGGAGGUAUAGGCUUUGGCUUGCUGUGAGGCGGAGGUGUAGGUUUUGGUUUGCUGUGAGGAGGAGGUAUAGGCUUUGGCUUGCUGUGAGGGGGAGGAGUGGGCUUACUAUGAGGGGGAGGAGUAGGCUUUGGUUUCGGAGAAGGGGUAGGUUUUGGCUUAGGAGAAGGAGGAGGGUUAGAGCAAUUACAUGUCGGCUUUGCUGUGGCUAUGGCUGUGGCUGUGGCUAGGGAGAUUAGGAGGAGGUUGAGUGAAAUGAAAAGAACAACUGCUGCAUAGCUUUUGGAUCUCAUUACUUCUAGCAAAUAAGUAAUACUCAGUGAUGAGAAGUUGCAGAAACAAUAGAUGGAUUGAAUGAAUUAUAAUUGAAAUUGAUGUAGGAUAUAUAUAGGGGUUCAAAAACAUAAUAUUCCUUUUAAACCAGGUUAGAGUAAGACAGUACAGUAUUAAAAUGAUGUGAAUUGAACUGGUUCACUAAUGUGUGGCCAUUCAUAUAUCAUGUGAUGCUCAGAUCUUUGGAUUUACGUGCAGG